CUUGGUCAUUUAGAGGAAGUAAAAGUCGUAACGAGGUUUCCGUAGGUGAACCUGCGGAAGGAUCAUUACUGGGUCACCGAGCGCCUCGGCGCUCACCCCCACCCUUCGCUUCCCGCCCCAUGAUCGGCGUCAGGCGGGCCCCCUCUGGGGGGCCCUCCGGCCGAAAUCCAAACCCUCAGCAACCCUUUGCAGCCUGAAUAAAAAAGCAAAUAGUUAAAACUUUCAACAACGGAUCUCUUGGUUCUGGCAACGAUGAAGAACGCAGCGAAAUGCGAUAAGUAAUGUGAAUUGCAGAAUUCAGUGAAUCAUCGAAUCUUUGAACGCACAUUGCGCCCCCUGGUAUUCCGGGGGGCACACCUGUUCGAGCGCCAUUUCAACCCUCAAGCCUCGCUUGGUGAUGGGCCCCGCCCGUGGGCGGGCCCGAAACUCGUGGGCGUCGUCGUUCGGCUCCAAGCGUAGCAAAACCCUCGCUUGGGCGCCCGGACGGCGGCCGCCCGGAAACGAAUUUUUACAAGGUUGGCCUCGGAUCAGGUGGGGAUACCCGCUGAACUUAAGCAUAUCAAUAAGCGGAGGA
Molecule: ribosomal RNA, 574 nt
Filed under: uncultured Venturia
Lineage: Eukaryota; Fungi; Ascomycota; Dothideomycetes; Venturiales; Venturiaceae
Description: eukaryotic LSU rRNA
Rfam family: 5.8S ribosomal RNA (bases 218-371)
Source: RNAcentral